Molecule: long non-coding RNA, 607 nt
Filed under: Pan troglodytes (chimpanzee)
Lineage: Eukaryota; Metazoa; Chordata; Mammalia; Primates; Hominidae
Description: lincRNA
Source: RNAcentral
CUGCAGCUAUCAGCAAGGCCAGCCCAGAGAAAGAAAGGCAACAAUAGACCAACAAAGAUGCCAUAGGCCACGCCUUCCUGCUUUAUCCUCCUCCAGUAUCCCUUCAUUCUCCUUCUCCUCUUUCCUCCCCUCCCAAACUCCUUCCUUCCCUCAUUCCUCCACUUUCAUCUCUUUGCUAUUUCUAGAAAGAAUCUUUUGUCUUGCUAGGCAGACCAUUUAUAACAAAGGAAAGACAGGAGGCGUAGAUGAUGAAGCAGAGUAGAGCACUUUUAACUGCAAGAGUGUUAGGAUAUGAACACUGCUGUUAGGAUAGAAAAGAGAAAAUCCUCAGACAUUUUUUUUUUCCAGAGCAAGAGAAAAUCCAGUGACUGAAAAAGAAUAAGAAGAAAAACACUGACCAAGGCAAUAAUUCCAAGAAGUCAAAAAUUAAGGCCUGAGAGGAAGAAGGCAGACUAAAGAAAGUAGGUAAGACAGUGACCUGAACGAAAGUGCUGGCUCCAUGCUCUGUGACGUUGGGCGUCCUCACUGCCCUCGGAAGCACGGUCUUUGUGACACUGGUCAGGUGCAUGAAGUGUUAGAAAAUUUUAUUAAAGAUUCCAUGGUUGCA